ACUGGGCAUGGUGGCACAUGCCUGUAAUCCCAGUGGCUCUGGAGGUUGAGGCAGGAGGAUCAUGAGUUCAAAAUCAGCCUCAGCAAAAGGAGGCACUAAGCAACUCAGUGAGACCCUGUCUCUA
Molecule: small RNA, 124 nt
Filed under: Marmota monax (woodchuck)
Lineage: Eukaryota; Metazoa; Chordata; Mammalia; Rodentia; Sciuridae
Source: RNAcentral